UCUCCGUUGGUGAACCAGCGGAGGGAUCAUUACAGAGUUUUCACAACUCCCAACCCUUGCGAACCGUACCCAUUCUGUUCUCGUUGCUUCCGGCGGGGGGGACGGGGGGGCCCGAAACGGCCUCCCCGCCCCGCCCGCCGGGGGCGGCGGGCCCUACGAACCUUUAUAUCUCAACCACAGAAACCGUCUGAGAAAACAAACAAAAUAAUCAAAACUUUCAACAACGGAUCUCUUGGCUCUG
This 241-nucleotide unclassified non-coding RNA is filed under the name plant metagenome. RNAcentral describes it as "partial contains small subunit ribosomal RNA, internal transcribed spacer 1, and 5.8S ribosomal RNA". The record is from RNAcentral.